RNAcentral lists this ribosomal RNA (256 nucleotides) under uncultured bacterium. RNAcentral describes it as "partial 16S ribosomal RNA". It matches the Rfam family "Bacterial small subunit ribosomal RNA", at positions 524 to 776 of the family's 1533-position model. The record is from RNAcentral.
UACAGAGGUCCCAAGCGUUGUUCGGAAUUAUUGGGCGUAAAGGGUGCGCAGAUGGUCUGACAAGUUAGCGGUGGUAAAUCGAGGCUCAACCUCGUGGAAACUGAUAAUACUGUCUGACUCGAGUACAGGAGAGGUUAACAGAACUCCAUGUGGAGCGGUAAAAUGCAUAGAUAUAUGGAAGAAUACCAAUAACGGCGAAGGCAGUUAACUAUUCUGUUACUGACAUUGAGGCACGAAAGCGUGGGGAGCAAAACGG